RNAcentral lists this long non-coding RNA (3639 nucleotides) under Gadus morhua (Atlantic cod). Its description in RNAcentral is "lncRNA (ENSGMOG00000024571.1)". The record is from RNAcentral. Lineage: Eukaryota; Metazoa; Chordata; Actinopteri; Gadiformes; Gadidae.
AAAAAGUAAAAGCAUCCAGUUGUGGACACCGUCACCACACAAAGUUACAAAGACCCAAUGUAGAAUUAACGCUAAAGCAAAGUCACAAAGACCCGCAGGAUAUCAAAAGCCCAAGACAAAGCAUAGAAAGGGGAAGAGGUUGAAAUACAAAGAUUUUAAAGCAUGAAGAGGAAAAGUAAAGUGCAUGGAGCCAAGAAUUCGAAAUGGUGGCAAAGAUUUGGUGAGAAAGCAAAGAGGAAAAGCAGAAAGUCGUAAACGGUGUAAAGAACAAGAUGAAGCUCAAGCUGGUUAAGGUAACAAGCUUCAUUCCUUUUGUAUCCUCCCCAAGAACCUCAAGCAAUUUGACAAGAUAGAAAAAUUAUCGGUUUGACAUGUUGGACCAAAGUAACUGUUUCCCUGCUAUCAUGCUCUCUCACUCAUGUAAUUGGCCAACAAAAACCCCUGGGGCUUUGUGUUCUGUUUUUCCGCAAAAAAAAAGUAUGUAUCUAAGAAAUGUAUUUGGAGAAAAUGCACAAAAUCCUUAACCGCAGUUAGCACAUUCGAAGACAUCCGCGAUGCCGAAGACGCCCUGCACAGCCUCGACAGGAAAUGGGUGUGUGGUCGACAGAUCGAAAUCCAGUUCGCACAGGGCGAUAGGAAGACUCCGGGACAGAUGAAGUCCAAGGAGAGGAGCUCGCCAGGCCGCUCCACGUCGCGGUACGACGACGAGUCCGAUCACGGCGGCAGUCGUCGCCGGCGGUCGCGGAGCCGCAGCUACGAGCGCUACCGGUCCCGGAGCCCCUCCCACGAAUGGCGCCCCCGCCGCCCAGAAAGCCCCCGGGAUUCUCGCGGACGAAUGUACGCAGCGCGGAGGAGCCGAAGCAGGGAAGACGAGAGGUACAAGACGCGGCCCAGGAGGGAGUCCAGGGGCCGCUCCCGCUCCAAGUCCCCCACCCCCAGAGACGAGGGCUACCAGGGCGCCCCGUCCCGCGACCCACGGGACCCACGGGACCCGCGGGACAGCCGCGACCUGAGGGACGUGGGCCGGCGGUCACGCACUCCGUCCCGCUCCGUCUCCCGGUCGCGCUCCCGAUCCAGGUCGUGGGCCGGUCGCAAAUCGGGGGGACACUAGUUCCCCCCACCCCCCCCCCCCCCCCCCACCCCCAGAUCCUUGCGGUCCUUCGGGACGUAGAGGGAAGGUUAACGUCUUGGAAUGUGUGUCACACAAUCUUUUCUUUGUCUUUUUCGUUAAAAGGGAUUCUCUUGUCACGCACCGAACCAGUACCGGGGCGACAUGCUUGUUGGCGACAUUUCUGGUGUUGUUUUUUUUUCGGGCCCGUGGGUUUUCUCAAAUUGAGCACUUGUCUUUUUCUCCCCUGGCCAGAAAUCUGUCGGUCUUGAGGGGGUUUCUCGAGUAUGAUGUAUUGGUAGUGUUUUGUAAAUUAAUUAACCUGUUUGAAUGUCCCUCCCUUUGCCUUUUUGUUAUAUGCAGGUUGGUUCCAAAGUGCUAUACAAUAUAACCUUUAAUGUGUGGUUCUUGCAGUAGCAGUUGAGUUUGUGUUUGUCUAUAAAUAUGAAACCAACAAUACUGGUUAAAAAGUUAAACUUUUUUUGUAAGAACGUGUCAUUUUAUAUACAGUUUGUUUCUGUUAAAAACAACGUCUUGUUAUGCGUUUUCUUUUUCUUUAAUCAGAAAUAAAGAAGUCAUGACAAAUUUGUUUACUAGACUGGCUUUCUUCCACUUCAAGAGAGGGGUUACACAUUUUGGUUAACAUUCUGCUCUCCCAGAACCUCGAUCCGUUUCAUGUUUAUUAGGAACAAACAAAACUACCCCAUUAUUUUAAAGCAGAUUUGCUCACAAAAGUCAUGGACUAUUUUGACAUCCCAAAUAAAAAUAAAUUCACAUUAAAAAGGUUUAUAGAAUAUAGAUUAUUGAUCAUGGCAGUGCCUGUAUAGCCUGAUCCGUUCCUCCCAGCCGUAAGGGAGUGAUGAACUGGGGUUAAAGCUGUGAUAAAUAUCCUUGAAUAGGGAAAAUCACUAGCUUUCAGAUCCCUAUAUUCAUAGGCGUGAUGUAUAGCGAUUGAUUUGAACGUUAAUGAAACACCACUGCCAGCCGCUGAGAAGUGUAAAUUAAUAAUGGAUUUAUCACUGCUUUGCAAAAAAUUUAAAAACGUAAAUCAAAGCGGACUGUCAAGGAAUGAAAUGUGAUGUUUCUGUUAUCUAAUAUUUGCGCAUUAUCGCCUGGAAAUUUGUGAUAUUGCAAAAUUGCCAUUAAAUUAAGGACAGAAUAUGUAGGUGCUACCAGAUAGCAUUCCAUACAGUGAAUCUUAAUUUUUCUGGUUUGACUUGCCGUCCUUCAUUUUGAUCAAAUUCUUGAUGCUGUAAUACAGCAUGUUGUUUUGACCCUUGUGCAUAGGGGUUUCUCCAAGACAAAGAAUAAAGCCGGAUGUGUGGAACAAAGGAUUACAUAAGAGACAAACUCUUUCCUCUGCCCAUCUCCUAUGUGCCCCAUAAUUUGCCUUUAUUGGAAUUACACUGUUUGAAAAAAUGAUUGAUUUGUGUUGCCUGUCACGGUGACCUUGUCUGCCAUUGAGGAUUUCCAUGUGGAACGAGCUGAACGCAUCUACGCUAUACGACUGUACUUAUUUCAUUCAAUAAUCACUCGAAAAAUCGACUGUAUCCCAUAAACAACUACGAAUGAGUGACACCUAUGUUAACCCAACAAUGACGCCCUGGUGAAUAGGGUCUACACAGCUGGAUGGGUUUCCAUCACUUCAGGGAAACCCAGGGAUAUGAUGCGUGCUCUGGUACGGAGUCAGGCUUCACUCCCCAAUGUACGCGACCCUAACCUCUACCUGCUCCUUAAUGACAUGUAUAUACGAAAGGACUUAAAGCUGCUUUGGAUCUAAACGUCUGCUAAAUGACUAGAUGGUACACUAGAUGGUUCCUCCACACAAUGAGUUCAGGGGUCACAGGGGUCGUGUGGUGACCCCUGGUUCUGCCGUCCAGCCCCGGACCCGGCUGGGUCUGUAUGGAGGGCAUAGACAACAAACGAUUUCAUAUUUGGUAGUACAUUCUGUUGUCUGGGAUGAACCACCCACGCCAUGAACCCCCUGAUAUCCAGUUCACCCCCCUGGAGGGCGAAUGGAAAAAGAACACAGCAUUGAUUUAGCGAGUUGGCUUCUAUGAGUUAACUGAAGCGUUGCAAUGGACCAGGGAUCAUUCGGUUCUCCGCUCCAGCACGGACGGAACCUGGAACCAACUGAUAAUUUUAUAUUUCAGAGUUCAUAAUCUUUUCUAAAUCGUUUUUUCAUCAAAUUACAGCGAUGGAUUAAAUAGGUGUGAGGGCUUUGGUUGUCAUGGGAGUACAGCCAGAAGGGCCUUUUAUUCUCAUAUCCAAAAUGAGCGGUACGUUUACCUAUUUUAAACUUUCAUUGAUGUUUCUUGGUAAGCAACUGAAUGCAUUUUGUCAAUUAGAAAUGGGUUAAAGUUAGUUGACUGUCUUCAGAGAAGGUAUGUUUUUGUUAUUGAAAUUCUUAUCUUUUUUGAAAUUGCUAUCUCAUAUCACUUUUGUUGAUGUAGGGGGAAUCAUUGAAAAAAAUGUCAUCAUUAUUGUAUUCCUAUCUGUGCCAUUGGGGAUAGACGGCCUAAUAACCUAAA